GCCCUCGUAGCUUACGUUGGUCAAAGCGCUGGCCUUAUAAGCCAGUGAAAGCACGUGCCAGAUAAGCGCGGCAACGUCGGUUCGAUUCCGACCGAGGGCACCA
This 103-nucleotide transfer RNA is filed under the name Thermomonas brevis. RNAcentral describes it as "tRNA-Ile". It matches the Rfam family "tRNA". From Rfam's summary of the family: Transfer RNA (tRNA) molecules are approximately 80 nucleotides in length. Lineage: Bacteria; Pseudomonadati; Pseudomonadota; Gammaproteobacteria; Lysobacterales; Lysobacteraceae. The record is from RNAcentral.